This 253-nucleotide ribosomal RNA is filed under the name uncultured bacterium. RNAcentral describes it as "partial 16S ribosomal RNA". It matches the Rfam family "Bacterial small subunit ribosomal RNA", at positions 524 to 776 of the family's 1533-position model. The record is from RNAcentral.
UACGGGGAGGGCAAGCGUUGUUCGGAAUUACUGGGCGUAAAGGGCUCGUAGGCGGCCAACUAAGUCGGACGUGAAAUCCCCAGGCUCAACCUGGGGACUGCGUCCGAUACUGGAUGGCUUGAAUCCGGGAGAGGGAUGCAGAAUUCCAGGUGUAGCGGUGAAAUGCGUAGAUAUCUGGAGGAAUACCGGUGGCGAAGGCGGCAUCCUGGACCGGCAUUGACGCUGAGGAGCGAAAGCCAGGGGAGCAAACGGG